Molecule: long non-coding RNA, 2270 nt
Organism: Scophthalmus maximus (turbot)
Lineage: Eukaryota; Metazoa; Chordata; Actinopteri; Pleuronectiformes; Scophthalmidae
Source: Ensembl
GUAAAGAGGAAAUAGGUGAUGAAGAAGAGGGCGACAAUGGUAAUGUAGCUUUACGGACCAUUAACACAUGUUCUGAGCCUCUCGGCUCUACUGGUGCUUCUUGAUGUCAUUUGUCAUCAAAAGUUGAAUUUUCUAUUUGCUCCAAUUCAGUCUUCCCAUCCUGUCUGCCACUGCUCUAACAAAAAUUAAGUUUUCUUAUCACAGAGGCUUGGAACAAAGAAAUCCCUCAAUUAUGUAUGGCUUUAGAAGUGUCAUUCUUUUCCCCUUCUUUUCUGCCACUUAAUUUAUGCAUGUCUUUGUGGUUCCAUUGCUCUGCAGUACAGAGACUAAGCUACACAAAGAGAUGGAAUGAAAAGGCUGUUUGUGGUGGUAUCAAAAGACAAUUCAAUUCAACUCCAGGGUCUAGCACUAAACACAAAUGUUUUCCCCUCUUUGAAUUCCUCUUCUGUUUUUCUAGAUGCUGGGGGAAAAGAGGACGUGGAGAUGGGGAGUCAAAAUCCAGAUGAAGAUGUAGGAAACGAGGAGCCAAAUCAAGAAAAGAUUGAAGAGAAAAAUGAAAACCAAGAGAAAAAGGAGGAUAUGGACAACAACGACAGAGCUGAGGAGAAAGGCAUCGACAAAGAUAAAGAUAAAGGAGACAAAGCAGAGGAAGAAAAACCUGCAGCAAAGACAGAAGACGAGGAAACAGAAAAGUCCACUGUGGACAUGGAAGAUGUUUCCGAGAUCAAUGAACCUGGCACCAGCAAUGGAGAGGAGAUGAAAGAUCAUGUUGAGAGCUCAGAAGAACCUGAUUCAAUUCCAACCGACAGCAAUCAGUCCAAAGACACUGUUGAGAAGAAGGAAUGACCAGCCGAGGGAAAGGACAAUCAACCUCAUCUGACAGCCAGCAAACUGUGCAGAGGCCAACCACACUGGUGUCAGACCGGCCCAUGUCAGCUGUGGCUCUGACACUGGCCCAGGACGCUCACAUUCCCGACUUUAUUUAGCCUUUUCUUCCCUCUUUGUUAAGAAACUACUCAUCCCGUCUGUAUGUAUAUGUAUGUAUGUAUGGCCAAAACCUUGCUAUACGACUUGAACAUAUCAACCACAAAAGAUGAGCCAUAACUCACUGUGCGUUAGAGUCAUACAUCAUUUUCAAGGCUGGGUGCGAUGAGAUAAACCAGGUUAAAGUCUCUUUUUCUUUUUUCUCUUAUCUCAACCCACUGUGAGAGCAUGGCAGAGCUGUCAGAGGACAACAGACAGAGCUCCUACAUGUUGACACUCCAGGCUGGGUGAUGCUUAACAUCAUCCACCCUUUUGUUCUUACAACUCAACUGACGCCGCCGCCGUCAUGAUGACACCCAACGGUGACACCACCCUGCAUUUGUGAGCCUCUUUGGAGUGCAACACACUGACACCUGCCAUGUCUCCUCACACGCUCCUGCAGAUCGAGCUCCAUUGUUUAGUUAAAUCAACCGAUACCUUGAUUCAAUAAGGCGAGGUGCCACUUCCAGGCCUUUCAUCUAUGAACAUCACUGAUUAUAUGUCUUAUCUCCACCGCUGCUGUAACUGCAGCUUAACUCGUUUUACAAGGAAACUCUCCAUCAGCGCCCACGCACACUUAAGAGGAUGUGAGUGUCUUUUAACAAAUCGAUUACCCCCCUCCCUUUUUUUUUCUAAGCCAUUUCCAGUGCAUGCCAGAAAAUUGCUUUGAACGUCCCCAACAUAAAACAGGAUUUACUGUCCUAUUCGCUUUCGCUUGUCUCUUUACCAGAUUGUCUAUAAUUGUAUCGAAGGAAUCUGCCUUAUUUCAUAAGAAACUACAAAACACAAUCACAGACCUAUGGAGGUGGUCCAAGUAUGAAUUCUUGGUUGUGUAACGCUUGCUGAUGAUUUGUAAUUUUAAGUACAUCAUGUAAUGGCUAAUACCUGUCGUUAAUGUUUUCUUUGUUUUCCUUCAAUUGAUUAGAAAAAAUGGUUGGUUUGGGUUUCUUUUAUUGUUGGUAUGAUUCAUGAAUUAUUUUCAGUGGUGCCAUACAACAGAUCAGAUGGAUAAUUAAAGUUAUAUGAAAUGAUGCCUUCAUACUUUGAUGUUUGCUUUGCUAAACUAUAACAGAAACAACUAAUAAAGUUAAAGGUGGAAGCCAUGUCUCAGCUUUUAAUGUACUCGUCAUGUGUCUUGUUUUUACCUGUGUCGUUGCAAAAGCUGAUAUUUGCGAUUAAAGAGGCAAUGAGCCAUUUUUACAAAAAUACACCUUUUGUAAAAAGGGAAUAUUUCCUCACGGUCCGCU